Molecule: ribosomal RNA, 340 nt
Filed under: uncultured bacterium
Lineage: Bacteria
Description: bacterial SSU rRNA
Rfam family: Bacterial small subunit ribosomal RNA
Source: RNAcentral
AAAACAAACCUAGGGAGGCAGCAAUAAGGAAUAUUGGUCAAUGGACGCAAGUCUGAACCAGCCAUGCCGCGUGAAGGAUGAAGGCCCUCUGGGUUGUAAACUUCUUUUAUCUGGGACGAAAAUGGGACUUUCUAGUUCAACUGACGGUACCAGAGGAAUAAGCACCGGCUAACUCCGUGCCAGCAGCCGCGGUAAUACGGAGGGUGCAAGCGUUAUCCGGAUUCACUGGGUUUAAAGGGUGCGUAGGUGGGUUGGUAAGUCAGUGGUGAAAUCUCCGAGCUUAACUUGGAAACUGCCAUUGAUACUAUCAGUCUUGAAUACCGUGGAGGUCAGCGGAAUA